GACGAACGCUGGCGGCGUGCUUAACACAUGCAAGUCGAACGGAAAGGCCCUGCUUUUGUGGGGUGCUCGAGUGGCGAACGGGUGAGUAACACGUGAGUAACCUGCCCUUGACUUUGGGAUAACUUCAGGAAACUGGGGCUAAUACCGGAUAGGAGCUCCUGCUGCAUGGUGGGGGUUGGAAAGUUUCGGCGGUUGGGGAUGGACUCGCGGCUUAUCAGCUUGUUGGUGGGGUAGUGGCUUACCAAGGCUUUGACGGGUAGCCGGCCUGAGAGGGUGACCGGCCACAUGGGGACUGAGAUACGGCCCAGACUCCUACGGGAGGCAGCAGUGGGGAAUAUUGCACAAUGGGCGGAAGCCUGAUGCAGCAACGCCGCGUGCGGGAUGACGGCCUUCGGGUUGUAAACCGCUUUCACCUGUGACGAAGCGUGAGUGACGGUAAUGGGUAAAGAAGCACCGGCUAACUACGUG
RNAcentral lists this ribosomal RNA (468 nucleotides) under uncultured bacterium. RNAcentral's name for it is "partial 16S ribosomal RNA". It matches the Rfam family "Bacterial small subunit ribosomal RNA", at positions 28 to 507 of the family's 1533-position model. The record is from RNAcentral.